CGCUAGCGGCAGGCUUAAUACAUGCAAGUCGAGGGGCAGCAGGGAUAGCAAUAUUCGCUGGCGACCGGCGCACGGGUGCGUAACACGUAUACAAUCUGCCUUUUACUGAGGAAUAGCCCCUCGAAAGAGGGAUUAAUAUCUCAUAAAAUAGUGAGUAGGCAUCUACUUACUAUCAAAGCUCAGGCGGAUAGGGAUGAGCAUGCGGCUGAUUAGCUAGUUGGUGAGGUAAUGGCUCACCAAGGCUACGAUCUGUAGCUGGUCUGAGAGGACGACCAGCCACACUGGAACUGAGACACGGUCCAGACUCCUACGGGAGGCAGCAGUGGGGAAUUUUGGACAAUGGGCGAAAGCCUGAUCCAGCCAUUCCGCGUGCAGGAUGAAGGCCCUCGGGUUGUAAACUGCUUUUGUACGGAACGAAAAGGUUUGGCCUAAUAAGCUGAGCUCAUGACGGUACCGUAAGAAUAAGCACCGGCUAACUACGUG
RNAcentral lists this ribosomal RNA (483 nucleotides) under uncultured bacterium. RNAcentral describes it as "bacterial SSU rRNA". It matches the Rfam family "Bacterial small subunit ribosomal RNA", at positions 34 to 507 of the family's 1533-position model. The record is from RNAcentral.